RNAcentral lists this long non-coding RNA (1190 nucleotides) under Anas platyrhynchos platyrhynchos (common mallard). RNAcentral describes it as "lncRNA (ENSAPLG00000022446.1)". Lineage: Eukaryota; Metazoa; Chordata; Aves; Anseriformes; Anatidae. The record is from RNAcentral.
UGGCUAGUUACAGGACUCCCUUCACGGCUCCUCUACAAUUCUUUAAAGGCCUGAAGCGUUGGACUGUAUUACUCUCCUUUCCAGGACUGUGUAGAAGACAGACCAAACUGGAACGUGAGGCAUCUUCUCUCUCCUCUUAAUACUUCUUUAUUAUGCAAGUAUGGUGAUCAUUGUCUGCAGUAACAGUGGAACAAUUCUGUAGCUGCCCUGCAAAUUAGAAGAAAAUGGUAUAUUUCCCCAGUCCAGCUAUCAUCAUAGCUCAUCUUCAAAAUUGUGUACCACAGGGUUUGUUGAAACACUCAUUUUAUUCUUCUUGCUUGGCUCAUACCUUAGUGUGAUUCCUGAGUUUUACACCCAGCAAUAAACAUGAGCGGAGUAUAUGAGUUGAUUUUGAUUUACCUGCAGGUAUUAAAAGGAACUUUCACUCCUUCCUCCAAGUUUCCUGACAGCUUUUAAAUUCAGUGUAAUGAAAUCUCCCUCCAGCCAUUAAUCAACCACCAUAAAGCUCAAGAACUUCACCUGUUAAAAAAAAAAAAAGAAAAACAUCCUUUACUGUGAUCUGCUAAUACAUUGUUACAGCACUUUUCCUUAACAGAAGUCUCUGGCUUUGAGACAUCAGCUCUUGUUUGCAGCGACUGCCCCCCACCCUGAUCAGCGAGCUUGCGGCCUUGCUGAGCUGAGGGUAGUGCAAGGCAAGUGCAUGCGAAAUCCACCCUUUUUACUGGCAGAGCUAAGGAUGAUGAUCGUGUCUGCACUCUGAGCUAGCCUGAGAUCCGUCAUCUGCUCCCAAUAGCAGGAGAUGAGCAACUCCCAGUGAGCAACUGUCAGAUACGUAAUGCAGCUCAGCACAAUUGCAGCUCGGAUCCUGGUGGCUGGCUUAAUAACUUCCCUGUAGUUUUUCUUUCUCUCUUCCUCUCUGUCUCCCCUGCGCCCCCAUCCAGCACGGAACAGCCUGAAGGAAUAGGCACGGACUGCACUUUGGUUCCUGUUGGGGUUGUGCUGGGACUCGCUCGACCAGAUCCUUGCUACAGCUCUGGGGCGUGCCACUUGCUCUGCUGCUGCCCUCCCGUAGGGUCAAAGAGCCACAUCCCAUCAAAGGAAAACGAGAAUAUGUUUAACAAAUACAGAACCCUAACAAACCGAUAAGCAAAAUGAAAUGGAACACAUGGCGAACUGUCGUGAGAAGACGG